RNAcentral lists this ribosomal RNA (765 nucleotides) under uncultured Streptococcus sp. RNAcentral describes it as "bacterial SSU rRNA". It matches the Rfam family "Bacterial small subunit ribosomal RNA", at positions 28 to 776 of the family's 1533-position model. Lineage: Bacteria; Bacillati; Bacillota; Bacilli; Lactobacillales; Streptococcaceae. The record is from RNAcentral.
GACGAACGCUGGCGGCGUGCCUAAUACAUGCAAGUAGAACGCUGAAGAGAGGAGCUUGCUCUUCUUGGAAGAGUUGCGAACGGGUGAGUAACGCGUAGGUAACCUGCCUUGUAGCGGGGGAUAACUAUUGGAAACGAUAGCUAAUACCGCAUAACAAUGGGUGACCCAUGUCAUUCAUUUGAAAGGGGCAACUGCUCCACUACAAGAUGGACCUGCGUUGUAUUAGCUAGUAGGUGAGGUAACGGCUCACCUAGGCGACGAUACAUAGCCGACCUGAGAGGGUGAUCGGCCACACUGGGACUGAGACACGGCCCAGACUCCUACGGGAGGCAGCAGUAGGGAAUCUUCGGCAAUGGGGGCAACCCUGACCGAGCAACGCCGCGUGAGUGAAGAAGGUUUUCGGAUCGUAAAGCUCUGUUGUAAGUCAAGAACGAGUGUGAGAGUGGAAAGUUCACACUGUGACGGUAGCUUACCAGAAAGGGACGGCUAACUACGUGCCAGCAGCCGCGGUAAUACGUAGGUCCCGAGCGUUGUCCGGAUUUAUUGGGCGUAAAGCGAGCGCAGGCGGUUUGAUAAGUCUGAAGUUAAAGGCUGUGGCUCAACCAUAGUUCGCUUUGGAAACUGUCAAACUUGAGUGCAGAAGGGGAGAGUGGAAUUCCAUGUGUAGCGGUGAAAUGCGUAGAUAUAUGGAGGAACACCGGUGGCGAAAGCGGCUCUCUGGUCUGUAACUGACGCUGAGGCUCGAAAGCGUGGGGAGCGAACGGG